This 1236-nucleotide long non-coding RNA is filed under the name Helianthus annuus (common sunflower). RNAcentral's name for it is "hypothetical non coding rna". The record is from RNAcentral. Lineage: Eukaryota; Viridiplantae; Streptophyta; Magnoliopsida; Asterales; Asteraceae.
UAAUUUUUUUUUCUUGUAUUCCUCAACUUCCUUUUUCUUCCCUACAUCGACUUCCUCUCAACUGGAUCCACUCAAUCUUUUCACACACCCCUUCAACUCAAAACCCUAGCUCCAGGUCCAGAAUAACAAAGCAAGUAUAUUUCUUAAAGCUCCGACCUGAAUCACCAUCCGAAACUCAACCCGUGACCAGUUAGUUUUUGUCAAAAUGAGUUUUUUGAUUGAAAAAAAUCUAUUUAGGGUUUCUGGGCCGGCCAGAAAUAUUCAGUAAGAAGCGAUGAUGGAGUAAAUGAGAAGAAGUUGAAGACGGCCCGUGAGAGGAAUCUGGACAAGCUUAAGCUUCUUCCAAAGGUAGUCAACUUGAAGCCAGCAAGAAAGCUAUUAAGAUCGAGGUGAGUUGUGUAUGUUUCUCCAAGGUGAUUCGAUCACACUCGCUAAUCGCUAAAGCCGCCAGUCACCACCACUUCGAGUGACUACCAUCGCACCAACGCAUGUACUGCAAACAACAUACUGACGGGUUAUGGGCCGUGGUUGAUGUAUCUUUGGACAACUUGCACCCUUCCACAACCGCAAGAUCUAGAAGAAGGCCAUUGGGUUGUUUGAUUGAAGAACUUCCAAUGGAUAUUCGAAGGUCACAUGGGUUGAACAUGUUGAAGUCGAUGAUAGAGCUGUUCAUGACAUCUAUCGGUCACUAAUGAAUUCUGGUUUAGCAUUUGGGGCCAGACGAUGGGUAGCAACGCUUGACAGACAAUGUGAACGGCUUGCAAGCGCGAUGGCUAGCAAUAUUCCUUGAGGCGACGUUGGAGGUCGGAGAUGAAGUUUUCCUCAAAAGCAAAAGGCAUUCUAAACUCUACUGAGACUGUAGCAAGAGGAAGGGUCUAGAGCUUGGACCCAAAUGAUCUAGUUGGUGGUACAGAGAUUGGACCAGAAUGGUGUGAGGUAAACGUUAAAGUACCAAUAAAAAAAGAUGAAAACUUGGUAAGAGCAUAUGGUGGAUUUUCUACAAUUCAAGAUUGUAUUGGUGCAUCCAUCGCAUGGCCCUAUCCAUUCAUCUCGGUAGUCCAUGAGGAUUGAGGAUGCAUGAUGACUCAAGAUUUUAUGCUUCUUAUUUCUUUAAUUGCGUUUAAUUUCUUUUUGUUAAUUGUUAAGACUUUAUGUUAGAUAAUGUUAUAACUUAUUUAUGGUUAGUGUUUUUGUUAUGAACAUGCUUAUUUGAAAUAUAAUGAAAUUUUAUUUCUU